CCUACGGGAGGCAGCAGUGGGGAAUAUUGGACAAUGGGCGCAAGCCUGAUCCAGCCAUGCCGGGUGAGUGAAGAAGGCCUUAGGGUUGUAAAGCUCUUUCACCGGUGAAGAUAAUGACGGUAACCGGAGAAGAAGCCCCGGCUAACUUCGUGCCAGCAGCCGCGGUAAUACGAAGGGAGCUAGCGUAGUUCGGAAUUACUGGGCGUAAAGCGCGCGUAGGCGGAUAGAUAAGUCAGAGGUGAAAUCCCGGGGCUCAACCCCGGAAUUGCCUUUGAUACUGUUUAUCUUGAGUGUAGAAGAGGUAAGUGGAAUUCCGAGUGUAGAGGUGUAAUUCGUAGAUAUUCGGAGGAACACCAGUGGCGAAGGCGGCUUACUGGUCUGCAACUGACGCUGAGGCGCGAAAGCGUGGGGAGCAAACAGGAUUAGAUACCCCUGUAGUC
Molecule: ribosomal RNA, 440 nt
Filed under: uncultured bacterium
Lineage: Bacteria
Description: bacterial SSU rRNA
Rfam family: Bacterial small subunit ribosomal RNA
Source: RNAcentral